UACGUAGGUGACCAGCGUUGUCCGGAUUUACUGGGCGUAAAGAGCGCGCAGGCGGUCGUUCAAGUCGAGUGUGAAAGCCCCCGGCUCAACUGGGGAGGGUCACUUGAUACUGAUCGACUGGAAGGCAGGAGAGGGAAGCGGAAUUCCCGGUGUAGUGGUGAAAUGCGUAGAUAUUGGGAGGAACACCAGUGGCGAAGGCGGCUCACUGGACCGGAACUGACGCUGAGGCGCGAAAGCGUGGGGAGCGAACAGG
RNAcentral lists this ribosomal RNA (253 nucleotides) under uncultured bacterium. Its description in RNAcentral is "partial 16S ribosomal RNA". It matches the Rfam family "Bacterial small subunit ribosomal RNA", at positions 524 to 776 of the family's 1533-position model. The record is from RNAcentral.